Molecule: non-coding RNA, 26 nt
Filed under: Rattus norvegicus (Norway rat)
Lineage: Eukaryota; Metazoa; Chordata; Mammalia; Rodentia; Muridae
Source: RNAcentral
UUUCAUUUGGUAUCCUCUCUGUCGCU